GAGGGUAUAGCUCAGUGGCAGAGCACAUGCUUAGCAUGCACAAGGUCCUGGGUUCAAUCCCCAGCACCUCCA
Molecule: transfer RNA, 72 nt
Filed under: Camelus bactrianus (Bactrian camel)
Lineage: Eukaryota; Metazoa; Chordata; Mammalia; Artiodactyla; Camelidae
Also listed under: 2 other names
Rfam family: tRNA
About the family: Transfer RNA (tRNA) molecules are approximately 80 nucleotides in length. Their secondary structure includes four short double-helical elements and three loops (D, anti-codon, and T loops).
Source: Rfam by way of RNAcentral